CUCAAUUAAUACCAUGUUACCUUUUAGUUAUUUGGAAGUGGAAAUAAUAAUAUAUCUUUACCACCAAUAGCUUCCUGAAAACAAGACAGCAGUGGACCAAUUAACUGAAUUGAGGAAGAAUCUAUCUUCUAUUAAUCCUUAUCAGUCCAUAUCAGACUGAUAUGCUUCCUGAUUCCUCUCUUCUCCUUUUCUCUUCUCCUUGUCCUUGCCUUUAUCCUCCUCCUCCUUCCUUCUCCUCCUUCUCCUUCUCCUUCUUCUCCUUCUCCUUCUCCUUCUCCUUCUCCUUCUCCUUCUCCUUCUCCUUCUCCUUCUCCUUCUUCUUCUUCUUCUUCUUCUUCUUCUUCUUCUUCUUCUUCUUCUUCUUCUUCUUCUUCUUCUUCUUCUUCUUCUUCUUCUUCUUACUCCAUUUCUGCUUUUUUCAUGUCUCUCUUUUUGUUUCUGUCUAUCUCUAACUUUCUUUCUUUUUCUUUCUCAGCCACGAGACCUCAUAUAGAGUUUAGCAGCACAAUAGGACUCCAUGUGAGUUGUGAUUUGAAAUCUGACUUCAUCUAUGUGCAUUCAUGUUGCUAUUGAGUCAUUUCAGUCAUGUCUAACUCUUCAAGAUCCCAUUUGGGGUUUUCUUGGCAAAGAUAAUGAAGUUUCUUUCCAUUUUUUUCUCCAGCUAUUUUUAUGAUGAGGAACCUGAGGCAAAUAGGGUUAAAUGGCUUGCCCAGGGUCACAUAGCUAAUAAGUUUCUGAGGAUGGAUUUGAAUUCAUGUCUUUCUGACUCCUUCACUGAGCCACCACCUACCUGCCUUUCAUUUACUUGAAUGAAUGCUUGUAGCCUUACAGUUUUAAGGUUAUUUCAAACAAUUAUUCUCUCAACUUGUAAACAUUACUUUUUGAGUUUUAUGUGUAUAACUAGGGUCACAACUGAUCCUAGGAUAUUUUGUAUGUAAUUGCCUAUGUGGAAUUAGAUGUGACUGGAUUGGUGGAGAGAAUACUGAAGCAUACCUGCAUAAGAAACCAAGCUGAGGCCAGGUCUUCUUGUGAGACAAAUAUGGGUAGUACUAGAAACUCUUUGGGAGAAAGAUGUAUAGAUAGAGAAAUACUCCAGGAAGUAUAUUGGAAAAGACAGGUAUGUAAGUGAAACUAGCUCAUAUGUGUUAGAUUUUCAGCUUUCUUUCCUGAAAAUUUCAGAGAAAUUCUCUUUGAAUGAGAUCAGG
Molecule: long non-coding RNA, 1205 nt
Filed under: Monodelphis domestica (gray short-tailed opossum)
Lineage: Eukaryota; Metazoa; Chordata; Mammalia; Didelphimorphia; Didelphidae
Description: lncRNA (ENSMODG00000047235.1)
Source: RNAcentral